UACGGCUCAGUAACACGUAGCUAACCUGCCCUUAAGUCAAGAAUACCCUCGGGAAACUGAGACUAAUGCUUGAUAAGAGAUUUACCCUGGAAAGAUUAAUCUCUGAAACUCGCGCUUAAGGAUGGGGCUGCGGCGGACUAGGUUGUUGGCGGGGUAAAUGCCCACCAAGCCGAUGAUCCGUAAGGGCUCUUAGCGGAGAGGCCCUGAGAGGGAAUCUGAGACACUAUUCCCAGCCCUACGGGGUGCAGCAGUUAGGAAUCUUUUGCAAUGCGCGCAAGCGUGACAAAUUGAACCAGAGUGCUUUUCAAUGAAAAGCUUUUGCCAAAUGCAAAAAGUUUGGCGAAUAAGGACUGGGCAAGACUAGUGCCAGCCGCCGCGGUAAUACUAGCGGUCCAAGUCGCAGCCAUCAUUAUUGGGUCUAAAACAUCCGUAGCUUGCUGAAUAAGUUUCUUGUGAAAUUCUACCUCUUAAGGGUAGAGCGCGCAAGAAAUACUGUUGAGCUAGAGACUGGUAGACGCAGGAAGUACGAUCAAAGUAGUGGUAAAA
RNAcentral lists this ribosomal RNA (546 nucleotides) under uncultured archaeon. Its description in RNAcentral is "bacterial SSU rRNA". It matches the Rfam family "Archaeal small subunit ribosomal RNA", at positions 84 to 637 of the family's 1478-position model. The record is from RNAcentral.